This 75-nucleotide transfer RNA is filed under the name Alphaproteobacteria bacterium. RNAcentral's name for it is "tRNA-Thr". It matches the Rfam family "tRNA". From Rfam's summary of the family: Transfer RNA (tRNA) molecules are approximately 80 nucleotides in length. RNAcentral also lists the same sequence under 1 other name. The record is from RNAcentral. Lineage: Bacteria; Pseudomonadati; Pseudomonadota; Alphaproteobacteria.
GCCGCUUUAGCUCAGGGGUAGAGCAACCGCCUUGUAAGCGGUAGGUCGUGUGUUCAAAUCACACAAGCGGCACCA